CUCGGCCUGCAAUGAUCUUCUUUCCAGCUUGAACUACAGGGUAGCUGUCAAUCUCAGUUGGGCUUUGUUUAAAUUGAGCAUCCAUCUCCAUGAAAAUGUUGAACAAGAGGAGAAAGGAGAAACUACACUGGAUUUGCCAAUACACAAAGGCGAAAAGUCAGUAUUGCCCCCGUAUCCCGGAGUAUCCUGCCGUAUCCGUUCGAUACAUCCGGAUACGUAUCUGUAAAUAAAUCUGAUUGUGGGGGCAAUAUUGACAUUUCAUCCUGGUUUAGCAUUUAGCGCGACAACUUGAGCUCUCUCACAGUCUCACUAGUUUGGGAAGCCGCAAUGGCAGCAGACAAGGCUGAAGAAGACGAGUCGGUUCCGGCGGCAGCUCCGCGUGGCCGUUACGUCAACAAGAGAAAGGUCUCAGGUACCCACCUUCAAAUUAGACCCUGAAAUUUUCUUCCUUUUAUGAUUUUGGUGAAUUGGGUUUUGGUGUGUCUUGGUUUCACAAGAGGAAGAAGAAUAUUGAACUUCUUGCAUCAGGGACUUCAUACGAGAGUCAUUUGUGUUAGAAAUAGCUGAAUUGAAUUCCAGUGUUUGAGGAAUCAGGUGAUUCCACAUUCGGCUGCUGUGGUGGUGUUGAACUAGUACUAGAAGCUGCUGACACUGCUGAAGGAGAUAGGUUCGGAGAUUUAGACUUUUAACUGUUGAACAUAUUAGACUGAGUAUCAGUGAUUGAUUUCUUAGAACUGUUUUUCACUUUCGUUAGAUUAGUUAGAGUUGUUAUCUGUGUUGUGUUGAUUUUGGGUUCUUGCUGUAAACGAGUUCAGGGAUGAAGGGUUUGGUGAUGGGAAUUUGAGGUUUGGGACUGUAGGGGUUUGGUAAAGGCUUGAAUUUGGUAACUGGGUUUAGAUCAAAAUUCUGGCUUUUAUAUGGGAACUGUGGAUUUGGUGAGAAAGAUUGAAAAUUUGAUGAUGGGUUGAAGAUUGUAGAAUAGACGAGCUAUACGACAAUCUGAAAGAUUGAACAUUCUCUAUGUGAGAAUGUUCAAUAUUUGAUGAUGGAUCCCAUAUGCCAACCGUGAAAUAUUGUAGGAAGCUUGCAGAUCGACCGGAUUGCAUAUAUUAACCGAGAAAUGUGAUAUUUUAUUCAUUUACAUUGGGACCGGUGUUUAAGAACUGUUUAGAUUCAUUACAGUCAGUUGAGCAGUAGCAUUUUUUUAUAACAAAGCUAAGAAUAUCCAACAUGCCAACCGCGAGAUAUUGUUGGGAGUCUUGGGAGUCUGACCAUGCAUAGCUCACAGAUUGUCGUAUAGCUCAAAGAGAAUGUAGUAUAACUUGAACUCCAUGUUGUGGACGAACUGUAAGAAACUGAAAAGGCGAGUGGACAUAAGCUGGGGAAAGGGUAAAUGAGUAGUGUUGUAGAAUCAUUGAGAGCGCAAUCUUUGCUUCAUUGGAAGCGAAGUUGAUUCCUGCACACAUUCUAGGUCCCAUUCCAAAGGGUGAGAAUGAACCCAUGUUAUCAUUAGUAGCUUUAGCAACCCCUUCAGAGAAUCUCUCUGGUUUGAAAAGUGCCGCUUCUUGUCCCCAUAUUUGAGAAUCAUGAUGAAGUGCUACAGUUGGGAUAAGCAAUUCAACAUUUGCAGGAACUUGGACUGCUCCCAGUUUUACUUCUCUUGGAACUAUCCUUCCGAUCAAAUUAACAGGAGGAUAUAACCUUAGAGUCUCAUUAAUAAUCAUGCUCAUCUGCAUGCAUCAAAAUAUAAAAAGAUAAGAGAUGAAACUGAGAUUAGUAAACUAACUUAGUUGCAGAUGCCCGUCAAUUAGACGAUCAUAUAUGUGUGUGCGUGUGUUUGUGUGUGUUUAUAUCUAUUUUUCAAUUGAGAUAGUGAUGUUCUUACUGUUUUGAGUUUGGAAAUGCCAUCAGAAUUUGGAGUUUCUUUGCCAAAUAACUGCAACACCUCCUUUCUUGCUUCCUCUUGCCAUUCAGGAUGUUGUGCCAGAAGAAAAACAGUCCAAGAAAGCAAAGUACUAGUUGUCUCCUGUCCAACAAAGUAUAAUGCCUUGCACUCUUCAACCACAUUGUCUAUCGAAAAUUUCUGGUCGUCAUUGAUGUCAUGAUGAGACUUCAAAAGUAAGCCAAGAAAAUCACUCCCAAAGCUCUCUCCUUCCCCGCUGCUUGCCUUCUGUUCUCUUUUCUUAACAAUCUCCAUUACAGAGUCUUGUAUUUCUUUCUCAAGCUUGUCUGCUUCAAUCUCACCGCUGGUUCUAUAAACCUUGCUGCUAUUUUGAAUGAGAAGCAACAUGCAUCAACCAAUUAAUCAAUAUUCAAUAGCUAAAAGAGAAAGAUCGAUUCUGGGAAGCUACCUGAUUCCAGGAAACCUGGUCUUGUACUUGUAAAGAUUUUUGAAUACUAUGAUGCUUAAAUUCUUCAACAUUUCAAAAAUGUUUUGUCCUUCUAAGUAGCUGCUGCCAAACGCUGUCCUGGCAAUCACUUCUGAAGUCAACAAUCUAAAUUCCUCAAACACAUCAGUCUCUUUUCCUUCAUGAUUUUUCCACCUUUCUAUCAUCGCCUCUGCACUAGCUGUCAUGUCUGGAAACAUAGCCUUGUAACAAAAUACCAUCAUACAACUAUUAAGUUUAAUAUUCUUGUUUUAGGAGAAUUUUAGAAAUAACUGUGUUUUUUUGAAACUUUCUUGAACUAAAACAUAUUGAUUUUUUUUUCAAUUAAAACUAAAACUGAAACAUAUUGAUUGAAGGACCUAAAUAAGUAUAUAUGGAACAGUCCUAGUCUAACCCAUGAUCUCCACGAUCAUAAUUUGAGAAGUAACAAACAGCCACAGGUCCAGAACUCAUGGUAUCUAAACAUAUUGCAGUAAGAAAGUAAGAAACAACUAUGAAGAGUAACUUACUUUUAAGCUCUCUCCAUGGAAGGCAUGGUUGGCCAGCUUUCUCAAAUUGGCCCAUUUUUCAUCUUCUGUCAUGGCAAGGCUAUCUCCAAAUAGCUUCUUCACAAUGUCACUAGGCUUUGGUUUUGGAAAAGCUCCAUCUUUGUUAUUGAAAAUCUCUUUGCAUGACUCAGGUUCUGUAACAACCAAAACUGGUUGAACACCAUACCACAUAAGAAAGUUCUUCCCUGUGUAACACAGCGCUUGGACCAAAUUAAAACAUUGAACAGAGUUUGAUAAUAAACUAUAUUUAGUUAAGUAACUAAGAGUUUGUGAUACCAUAUCUCUUCGACCACGAGUGAAUAUGAGGAUGAAGUCGAGGAAAUAUAUCAUGUGAUAAGUUUCUGGGCAUGAGCGCAGCUUCCUUUUGCAUGUUGAUGAUUUCUUUGCCGUUUCCAUACAGAAGUCUGUAUGGAGGACCUUUGAUUCCCCUCAGACUCAUCAGUUUCUGAAUCCGAAUAGGAGUCCACCAUAGUUUGUGAAACACCUUGAUUAGAGCUAAGAGAAGAAGAAACAGACACAGAAACCUUAACAUCAUGAUCAUCUUUCUUGUCAUUUUUCUUCCAGGCUCGGUCCGCUAUUUAACUUUUCUGGUAUUCAUUGAUAAUUAUUGUUGACUUUGACAUUUUGGCAGGCAAAGGAGUAUGACAAAUACUAGAGCCUAGAGAUCAAUCUUGUCCACAUCUUGAUGACACUAUAUGAAUAUGAAAUAAAAUGCCGUGGAGUAACUAAACAGGUAAAAAAACUGAGUAUGAACUGGUCAAAUGCCACCACUGGUGUGAAAGUUAAAUACGAAUAGUUAUUUUUAUUUUAUAAGCUACAAUAUGUUCUAGAUGGAAUGUAAGAUUUUAUGGGGAAAUUUUGGUCUUCACCAGUCAGAGUGAGUGUAGAAUAACUUGAAGUCCAUGCUGUGGACGAACUGUGAGAAAUUGAAAGGGUGAGUGGACAUAAGCUGGGGAAAGUGUGAAGGAGUAGCGUUGUAGGAUCAUUGCAAGAGCAAUCUUUGCUUCUAUGGUGGCAAAGUUGAGGCCAACACAAGUUCUAGGUCCCAUUCCAAAGGGUAAGAAUGCAGCCAUGUUGUUGUUGGUAGCACUUGCAACACCUUCUGAGAAUCUCUCCGGUUUAAAAACUUUCACAUCUUGUCCCCAGAACUGAGGUUCAUGAUGAAGUGCUAGAUUUGGGACAAGAAAUUCAACAUUAGGAGGGAUAGUAAGGUUUCCCAGUCUAACUUCCUUAUCCACGUUUCGUGCGAGGGUUAUAACAGGAGGAUAUAGCCUCAGAGACUCAUUGAUGAUCAUACUCAUCUGCAUCAAAAUAUAAAGAGCAGCUCAAGAUUAAUCGAACAUUUAUCCCAUUUAGACAAACAUAUACAUGAGGGCAGAGUUUUUAUACUUUCUUACUGUUUUCAGUUUAGCAAGGCCAUCAGGACUUGGAGGUUGUUUGCCAAAUAUUUGCAGGACCUCCUUUCUCGCUUCCUCUUGCCAAUCCGGAUGGAGAGCCAGAAGAAAGACAGUCCAAACAAGCAAAGAGUUGGUGGUAUCUUGUCCAGCAAAGUAAAACGUCUUGCACUCCUCAACCAAUUCAUUCACUGAAAUCCUCUGCUUGUCAUUGGCACCAUGGUGAGCCUUCAAAAGUAACCCAAGAAAAUCAGUCCCAAAGCUGCCUUCUUCUCCGGUCACUGCCUCCCUCUCUCUUUUCUUUACAAUUUCUACUAUGGUGUCACGUAUUCCUUUCUCAAGCUUCUCUGAUUCUUUCUCAUCACUAGUUUUAUAAAACUUGCUGCAAUUUUGAAUUCAAUAAGCUUAAGAAGUAACACCACUCGGUAGUUGAUAUCAUACAUCUUCAUUUAAGUAAUCAAGAACAUCAAAUAAUAGAAUAUCCAAAAACAGCUAAAAGGAACAUCAAUUGUUUCAAUUUAGAGGAAGGUACCUGAUGCCAGGAACCCUGAAUUUAUGAGCGUUUCUGAAUAUUAAGGAGCCUAACUUCAUCAACAUGUCAAAAAUAUCCUUCCCUUCUAAAUAGCUGCUACCAAAUGCUGUCCUAGAAAUCACUUCUGAAGUGAACCUCCUGAAAUGUUCAUACACCUCAAUCUCUUUUUCUUCAUGCUUCUUCCACCCUUCGAGCAUUGUCUCAGCACUAGCUAUCAUGUCUGGAAUCAUAUUCUAGCAAAACCCAACAGUACCCUAAUUUAGUAAGCAAAUUGUCCUACAAUUUGUGCAUUUCUUAUGAACAAUUGAGACAAGUACCACUACUUAAUACUACUACACUAAUCUUUGCAAGGGUCACCAGUAAGUAGUACUAUUUAUUCACAAAUUAAACAACUUGGUUUUGAGUCAGAGAUAAAUGCAACAAAGGUAACUUACUUUUAAGCUGUCUCCAUGGAAGGCAUGGUUGGAAAGCUUUCUCAGUUUUGACCAUUUUUCACCUUCUGCCAUGGAAAUGCUGUCUCCCAAUAGCUUCUUCACAUAGAUACUGGGCUUCUGUUUGGUGAAAACCCCAUCUUUGUUGUGGAGUAUCUCCUUGACUAACUCGGGUUCUGUAAUCACCAAAACUGGUUGAAGACCAUACCAUUGUAGAUAAUUCUUCCCUGUAGCAGAUAGUAAUUAACCACAAAAAGAUCACAUCUUUGAAGUAAGACUUGACAAAUAAACAUUUUUGAGUUAAGAGUUGGCUAAUUACCAUAGAUCUUGGUCCAUGAGUGAAUGUGAGGCUGAACUGCAGAUAGUACUUCAUGUGAUAAGUUCAGUACGGGCCUGCUCAUGGCUUCCAUUAGCAUGUUGCUGAUUUCUUUGUUGUUUCCAUGGAUGAGUUUGUAAGAAGGACCUCUGAUUCCCUGAGCAGCCAUGAAUUUCUGUGUACGAGUCGGAAUCCACCAUAGUUUAUGAAAGAUCUUGAUGAAUAUCAGAGCCAACAGAAGAAGGAAAGUACACAAAGCAGUGGGAAGAGUGAGCACUGUGUCUCUCAUCCAACUCAUCAUUUUUUUUCUUGUUGUUUGUGUUCGCUUUUGGGAUCUCUGUGUUACAUAGCAUGUUUGAAACUUUGAAAGGCCAUUGUUGACCCAAGCUAGGUGCCAUUAUUGGCCACACACUUAAAAUCAAAGAUCACUUUCCAAAAUGGAAAUAACUUGAGUGAUCUGCUAUGGUCAUUUAUAGCUGACAAACACGAAUGAGAGAUGAACAAGUGUCAACAAUAAUUAUAAACAAACAUGUUAAAAACCCAAAACCCUUCAUGUUAUAUCCUUAAAUUACAAUCAAGUCUUUUAAAAUAGAUAUGUGUCCCAUGUUUAUUGAUUAUGGUCACCUUAAGGUGACCAACCCUUGUCACCGAAAUUAUUUGUCACUGUUUAUUUGUUUAUUGGGUACCCUUAAGGUAACCAACCCUUCCAAAAUUAUGUACUGAUCUAUCUCACUGUCUCAGAAUAGUCAGAACAUUAGUUUUCUUCUUACAGAUUUGGAUUAUUUGUCUACAGAGCGCAGUGGAAGUAAUCUUCAUGCAAAGCUGAUGCUGGAAACUAACUCCGGAAAUGGAUGAAUGCUUCUUCACAGUAUUCAUAUGUAUCCUUAAAAUAUAUCAGUCUUAAUGAAGGGUCUAUUAGUCUUUGAAAUUUGCUUGCUAG
Molecule: long non-coding RNA, 6548 nt
Filed under: Fragaria vesca (wild strawberry)
Lineage: Eukaryota; Viridiplantae; Streptophyta; Magnoliopsida; Rosales; Rosaceae
Description: long non-coding RNA (FVES_LNC002015)
Source: RNAcentral